ACUGAAAUCCAGUGUUCUUCUUGGAAUAUUGUUCUGAUUCCUAAAUAUAGAGGAGUCUCUAAAUGGGGCAUUCAGGCCUGUUGAGGGGAUAGAUGCCUCAGUUGUGUCAGGACAAUGUAAUUCAUGAGCAAAUGCCUUCUUCACUGCAAUAACAUCAGAAUCAGUUCAAACAUCCAAUAAAACUAAUGCCAAAAAAAAAAAGUAACAUCAAAUUUCAUACCACUUUUUGAAGCAGGGACCUUUUUCUCAAUAGUGCCUUCAACUGAAGGACACUUUGUGCGGCCAAUAUUGUUCAGGGGAGGCUUUGUAUUAUAAGUAUGUUUUAAAGCACCCUUCUUUGUCCCAGAAGCUGUCAAAGGUGAGCAUAGCUUGGUCUUAUGUGAUAUAUUAGCUAUUGGACUGGAGGGGUCCGUGGAGAGAAUGACAUGUUCGAUGGAACAUGAUUACUUGCCAAAACAGGAACACUGUUGUCUUAUUAAAAACCUCAUUUCCAUUAGGAGACUCCCUUAAACCAUUU
This 517-nucleotide long non-coding RNA is filed under the name Daucus carota (carrot). RNAcentral describes it as "long non-coding RNA (DCAR_LNC007360)". The record is from RNAcentral. Lineage: Eukaryota; Viridiplantae; Streptophyta; Magnoliopsida; Apiales; Apiaceae.